CAACCAGGCUGGACAGCCGCGGACGCAUGCCGAAAGGCAGCGGAUGAGGAAAGUCCGGGCUCCACAGGGCAAGGAUAACGGGUAACACCCGCCGAGGGUGACCUCAGGACAAGUGCAACAGAGAUAUACUGCCGGUUCCGCCGGUCAAGGUGAAAAGGUGGGGUAAGAGCCCACCCGGCCCAUGGUAACAUGGGUUUUACGCUGUAAACUCUAUCCCGGAGCAACGCCGUGGAGAAGCAAUAGGUCUGCCCGACCGCUUCGAGGAGGCGGCUUGAUCCCGCGAGCAAUUGCGGGGCUAGAUAGAUGGCUGUCAAAACAGAACCCGGCUUAUAGGCCUGGUUGCAAA
Molecule: RNase P RNA, 346 nt
Filed under: Oscillospiraceae bacterium
Lineage: Bacteria; Bacillati; Bacillota; Clostridia; Eubacteriales; Oscillospiraceae
Description: RNase P RNA component class A
Rfam family: Bacterial RNase P class A
About the family: Ribonuclease P (RNase P) is a ubiquitous endoribonuclease, found in archaea, bacteria and eukarya as well as chloroplasts and mitochondria. Its best characterised activity is the generation of mature 5'-ends of tRNAs by cleaving the 5'-leader elements of precursor-tRNAs.
Source: RNAcentral